Long non-coding RNA from Homo sapiens (human), 4385 nucleotides. RefSeq lists it as uncharacterized. The transcript has 3 exons. The record is from RefSeq and is a predicted model, not a curated record. Lineage: Eukaryota; Metazoa; Chordata; Mammalia; Primates; Hominidae.
CUGGUCACAGGGUUGCAGCCCAGUACCCAGGGAAGAGGGAUCCAGGAUCAAAUAGAUAGGACAACCGCUGGGGGAGGGGCCGGCCCCACCGGAGGAAAUGAAAAUAGUUGCAGUUUCAUUUGCUUUAAAGCACAGCCCUUGUAAUAAAUGCGCACAGCAAAUGUGCUGAGCAAACACCUCGGCAUUCAUCACUAUGCGGGGGCUGUUUACUGCCUCAUAAACUUGGAAGCAAGUGAUAUUGUCUCCUAAAUCAAUGGCUGCGCGGACAGCCUUGGCGCUCCAGGAGAACAGCACGGCCAGGCCGCGCCCGUGCUGAAAUUAAUGACUGGAGCAGUGACUGGAAGGUGCUUAGUCACUGCCGAGGGGAUUAGGAGCCAUUCCAGGGGACGAGCAGCCAGCCGAUGCUGAUGAGUCGGGGGCCGGAUGCCCCAACCAGAGCUCUGUGAUUAACCAGCUGAGUAAGCCUGCUUGGACCCCCAGAUCAGAAAGAGUCCAUCUCCCUGAGCUUACCACAGUAUGCACUGACCUAUGAUGGCACAGACUUGGCAUACAACCCAGCUGUGGCCAGCGAGACACAGAGCAAGCCUGCUGAUGGGGCUUCCAGGAAAUACUUUUAUUUUUCUUCAGAUACAAGACAAAGGCAUGUAAGGAAAAGACCUUUCUGCACCUUCCCCAACUUCCUGCCUCCAACGCUUCUGUGUGAUGAUGUGAUACUUGGAACAUGGUGGCAUCUUGUGACCAUGAGGUGACAGGCUUGGCAUGGACAGCCGUGUGCUGUGGGUGGCAGAGCAGGUAACCAGGAAGCCUGGUGCUGACACCCAUCCUCCUGCACCUAUGCCAGCUGGGACCGCCCACCUCCGGACUUCUGACCGUGUGAGCUGACGGCCUCUCUUCACUGCCUGGUGCCUGUUGGUCAGCUGUUUCGUUACUUGUGAUCAAAAGCAUUCCUGAUGGAUUCAAGACUCUUUGAAGAAACUGGAGCUGUGUCACCUGGAAUCUCUGCUGUCAGCUGCUUGAAUCCCCUCCCAGCAUUUCCACCAACCUGUGCUUAGGCAAUUAGAGAAGGAGGAACUCAGGCCAGGCGCGGUGGCUCACGCCUGUAAUCCCAGCACUUCGGGAGGCCGAGGCGGGCGGAUCAAGAGGUCAGGAGAUCAAGACCAUCCUGGCUACCACGGUGAAACCCCAUCUCUACAAAAAUACAAAAAAUUAGCCAGGCGUGGUGGCGGGCACCUGUAGUCCCAGCUACUCGGGAGGCAGGAGAAUGGCCUGAACCAGGGGGGCAGAGCUUGCAGUGAGCCGAGAUCGCUCCACUGCACUCCAGCCUGGGCGACAGAGAGAGACUCCGUCUCCAAAAAAAAAAAAAAAAAAAAAAAUGGAGGAGCUCACUCUCUCUCUCCCAGGCCACCCAUGCCACCUCUGGGCCCUUCUGCCGAGUCUUUGUUCUGUGAUGAGGGAAUUCAGCUGGACAGCGUUCCCUGGGAGGUGUGGGGGCUGAGUCCCUCCCAGAGCCUGCCUGGAAAGGGCAGGGCUUGUCAAAGCCCCAGUGUGGGAGGCAUGAAGGUGAGAGCCGCGCUGGCCAGGUAUGCCCUGUUCUGCUUCCUCCUGCGAGUUCCCCAGGAGGGAGGGGUUUUAUUCUUUCUAAAAAUAGCUUUACUGAAAUAUAAUUCCCACACCACACAAUUCACCCAUUUAAAGUGUGCAAUUCAGUGGUUUCUAGUACUGCCACAGACAGGUGCCACCAUCACCACAAUGUUAGAACAUUUCGUCACCUAAAGCAAAACAAGACAAACCUUUUCCCUUUAGCUGUCAUAUUCCCCCAAGUCUCCAGCUCCCCACUCCCUCAGCCCUAGGCAACCACUAAUCUUUCUGUCACUCUAGAUUGGCCUGUUCCAGACAUUUCCCAUGAACGGAACCAUGCAAUAUAUGUGGUCUUGGUGUCUGGCUUCUCACUUAGCAUCAUGUUUCCAAGGUUCAUCAGCACUUCGUUGUUUUUUAUUACCAAAUUGUAUUCCACUGUAUUGAUAUACAAUUGGUUCUCCUUAUUUUUGGGAGUUCUGUUCUGUAAAGUCACCGCAAACAUUGAAUUAGCAAACAUUGAACCACUACCCCUACAGGAAAUAGAGUUAGGUUCCUGCAAGCCUCUGGUCACAUUUUUGCCUACUGAUCGAUAUGUAAUCUUGUUUUAUGUGUAUUUCUGUUUAAAGACAACUAAUUUGAUAUAUAAUGUGUCUAUAUAUUUAUAUACGUAUGUGCAUAUGUAUAUAUGUAUAAUAUGUGCAUAUAUAUAUAGUUGGUUCAUUAACAUUGAAGUUAUGGCCAACAGCAUUUCAACUCAUAUUUCAGAGGGUGGAGGUUUGUGGGGAGGAGUGUUUUCCUGGAGAGCCUCUCAACAUAGAUACACUUGUGUGGACCUAAAAUCACCCAAGCUAGGAGGGCCAGCCCAUCCUGGUCUGCCCUGGGCUGAGGGCUUUCCCAGGAGAGUGAACUUUCAGUGCUAAAGCCAGACAGGGACAGCUGCUCACCCUACCUGCCUCCUAACAUCUAUCCACGGGUUCUGCAUCCACCCUUUGGAGUGGCACAAAACAAAGAUGAUCCCCUCUUUCCCCAAGUAGACUCUGAGUGAAGACACAUCUUAGGUCCACUUCUCAGGCUCAAUAUCCUCAAUUUCUUGGACCUCCUUCAUAUUGUGCGAGGUGGCAGAGGCUGCUUGCUGAUCACCAGGCUCCUCUCCUCUUCUGCACUUUCCAGCCUCUCUCGCAGGUAGGAGUGGCCACAGGAGUUCUAGAAUGUGAGCAGAAGGCAUGUGGCCACUUCCAGGCCCUGCCUAUACACACCUUCCACUCACAGUCCUCCAUGCUCUUGCACAAGAGGGAAGCUGCCCUGGGUCACUGCUAGGGGAGGGCUGACCUCCACUCAGGAGCCCCUCCUAGGUGAGCAAGCCAUAAGCGGUUGUGCUGGGUCUCUGUGGUUAGGGGCUUACCUGUCACAGCAGCUCCAAUCACUUUGACUGGCUCACAUGACGCAAAGCUCUUUUGUGACCAGCUCACUCCUCUGCACACAUUCCUGCCUGUCUAGACUCCUUUUUUGGAGUCCAGGUGUGGUCCGUGUGUCCAAGGCUGAGGCCAAUGCUCUCCCUCUUCCCACACCUAUCUCUAGGGGUGUUGGGUAAGAUUGCAUUAACUGGGGGAGCCCCACCCCGUGGCUGCCCCACAUGAAACACUGUUAAACAGCCCUCCCAAGCCGUUUUCACCCAUACCACUGCAAAGUCACGUUUUCCCCAUCCUCUGCAGCUGGGGGCUUGGGAACACAAUAAUUAGCUUUAUUGUGAAAAUCACCCAUCACCGUAGCUCACUGAGGUCCUCUGGAUCCUGAUUCUGUCCACUGUGCCUUGAGUCUUCGGCCAUUCACUGGUGUCUCCACUCUCCACUGCCUUACUCACAAGCAUGAUCACUAUACUAACAACAGCCAGCACUCCACAAUAAACUCUAAGUGCUUCCUGAGUCUCAACUCUUAAUCUUCUCAACAAUUCUCACGUAGAAACUAUUAUGAUCCCCACUGUAUAGAGGAGUAAACUGAGGCACAGUCAAUAACUUGCUCCAGGACAAUUAGCUAGUAAGUGACAGAGCUGGACUUAAACCCAGCAAUUUGAUGUCAGUCAUAUUGUUAACUAUCAGGCUAAUAUGUUGUCUACACCUGGAUCAUGUCUGAAUUCAGUUGUUGCAGACACAAAUAGAGAACACAGAUGUGCUCCGGGCAGCUGGGCCCUCUGCUUGGAGACGCCUGCAGUUAACACCCCUCUGCUUAUAGAGCAUGUUUCAGGCGUACUUGUUCAACUGGUCACUCAGCCUCAACAGCCUCCAAGCUGUUUCAUCAUUUUAUCUGUGAGGAUUUCAAAGGAAACCAGGAGCCGAGCGCCCAGAAAGAAAAGAAGACCGGAAUCAGAGAGCGUUCUGCAAGUUCGCAAGUUCAAGGGCCCAGAGGCACAGUAGCCCAGAAGCCUCAAGGACUUUCUACCAAAACUCACAGGUACAACCUUGAAAACACAAGAAAAGAAAACAAGAACUUGCCUUCUUGGGCAAGGGGAGUUGAAAGAGGCCAGGCCCAGAACUCCAGAGAUGAAAUGGGAGCAGCUGCAGCCUGGCUGUUAUUCCAAGCGUGUCGUGCUGAGAAGUAAGGGGAGUGUGUGCUCAUCACUGUCUGUGGUGUGGACUCAGGACGCGCCCCCUGGAAGCAUCGAUUCGGCCCGAGUCGCUUGCUGAAGGUGUGCUCUGCGGAGGGGCUGCCCACCCAGCCUCUCUAUAUUGACCAUUUUCCUGCUUUAUGCAAAGUAAUUGGCCAAGCAUUGUACAAAAGAAGGAUAAUUAAUACACUGGUUUAACCCUUGA